CAGCAACAUUCUGACAAAUCCAAAUACCACUGAAUUGAACUCUAGGUGCAAAAUUAAUUGGGAACUACUUGUAUAAGCCAACAACCACAGUUUCAUAAGAUCUUUGAGCUAGGCAACGUGCAGAUCCUCAAGCCUACAUCUGAUUGCAAAUCAAUUGCUGAAUACAAAUUGUUCCAUAGCAGAAAACAAGUUCUGCAGUAGCCAGUUCUAGUCUUCAAGAUUGAAACAGCAAUGUAUAAGAGUUGAAUGAUCAAAACAAGCAAGGAGGCAGUUGGACAAGUUCAAGCAGUGCACAUAUGGAGCAGCAGAGUAUUAUGGCUUGAUCUUUUGGAGUUUUGAAUGUGUAGUCCGUUUUAGAUUUAGUUUCCUUUGUUUUCUUGUAAAAGGCCAUUAAGACCAAGUGUUGGAAGAGUCCUUGGUGCUCUCUCCAAUCUUGGCAAUUUUCUUUACUUCCAUUGCUAGUAGAUGGUGAGUGUGUCUUGUUAACCAAAAGCUACAAGCCUCACCUAGGAUUUCUUUUAUUUUAUUUUCUUAUUCCCACGUUCUAGACUUUUGUUCCAUUAGAAGUCCGAAAAUUAGAAGUCUAGGUGUUUUUAACNUUCUUUUUGUUUGUUUGAGUCCAUUUUUUUUAAAUUCAAUAGUGAAUCUUACUUUGAAAAUGGUUAAGUAAGUAGCUUUAGACAUUNUGGCUAGGUAAGACUUGGUAUUUAAGCGGCCUUUGGCUCACCUCUCUUACCUGGGAAUUGUCUCUUGGCAAAAUCUUAAACCUUUUCAAACUAAGAAUCCACUUUUGAAAUUAAAAGAUGAAUGAGAAAGGAAUGAGAGGUAAGAAAGGAAUANAANUGAGUGAGCUUAGGGACUUGUUUGCCCAAUACAUGAAAAAUCAAAAUGAGUGUGAGCAAAAAGAAAGUAGAAAGUUUGUACCUCCAACCAUUAAAAGAAACCUAAAACUAAUGAGAGAUAGUAUUCAAAAGGGAAAAAUAUUUCUUGAGAGUUUAAAAGACCAUGGUUUUCUUCAUAGAGAAAUUGAGUUUGGAGCCAGACUUAAAGAGCUUA
Long non-coding RNA from Vigna radiata var. radiata (mung bean), 1056 nucleotides. RefSeq lists it as uncharacterized. The transcript is spliced from 2 exons. NCBI's taxonomy places the organism in Eukaryota, Viridiplantae, Streptophyta, Magnoliopsida, Fabales, Fabaceae. The record is from RefSeq and is a predicted model, not a curated record.